AUUGAACGCUGGCGGCAUGCUUUACACAUGCAAGUCGAACGGCAGCGCGGGCUUCGGCCUGGCGGCGAGUGGCGAACGGGUGAGUAAUACAUCGGAACGUGCCCAGUAGUGGGGGAUAGCUCGGCGAAAGCCGGAUUAAUACCGCAUACGACCUGAGGGUGAAAGCGGGGGAUCUUCGGACCUCGCGCUAUUGGAGCGGCCGAUGGCAGAGUAGCUAGUUGGUGGGGUAAAGGCCUACCAAGGCGACGAUCUGUAGCUGGUCUGAGAGGACGACCAGCCACACUGGGACUGAGACACGGCCCAGACUCCUACGGGAGGCAGCAGUGGGGAAUUUUGGACAAUGGGCGAAAGCCUGAUCCAGCAAUGCCGCGUGUGUGAUGAAGGCCUUCGGGUUGUAAAGCACUUUUGGCGGGAACGAAAAGGACUGUGCAAAUACCACGGUUCGAUGACGGUACCCGCAGAAUAAGCACCGGCUAACUACGUG
RNAcentral lists this ribosomal RNA (484 nucleotides) under uncultured bacterium. RNAcentral's name for it is "partial 16S ribosomal RNA". It matches the Rfam family "Bacterial small subunit ribosomal RNA", at positions 29 to 507 of the family's 1533-position model. The record is from RNAcentral.